This 1035-nucleotide long non-coding RNA is filed under the name Mytilus galloprovincialis (Mediterranean mussel). The record is from RNAcentral. Lineage: Eukaryota; Metazoa; Mollusca; Bivalvia; Mytilida; Mytilidae.
GUCUCAUGCCAAUAAAAUAUAAAUAUAUUUUCCCCGGGCGCUUUUUCUGUUCCCCGGGCGCUAUAUUUUCUUCACCCGGGCGCUCCCGGGCGCAUUUUAGUAGGACCCCAAUUAUCAUAUGUCUAUAAAAAGGUGAAUGGUGGGUGCUAAAAUAUAAUAAGAACCCAAGGCGGGGACGGACUCAGCAUCAAGCGUAGAAAACUGUUAAACGCCUCAACUAAAAUAGACAAUCUCCCAUGCGGAGUUAUAGGUGUCAUACCACAAAUUACUCCCUCAAAUUUAGAACGUGAAAGUAGGCCUACUCGGACAAAAAAUAGUGCAUUUGAUGUCAUUGUUCACCUAAACUAACCAACAAAUUUGCAGAAAUGAAACUUUUGUUGAAAGAGAAAUAUAUUAAGACCAUUUUGAGCCAAAUUUUACCUGUCUAGGAGUUUGCAUUUAAAAUUGAUGAUUAAUGCGCUCCAUGGUAUACUAAUUUAAGAUUUCCAGAAAACCAGGGGUUAAUUUUAGUGGUACCUCCUUUCGGGAGCUUUCUUCUUUCUUAUAUGAUUUUGAAUGUAUGUUGAAAAUUGGCAUGCAGAAAGGUGACACCUGUACAAUUCAGCAUAUACCUAGUUUCUAUGAAGUUAAACUUAUGGUAAAAUAUUUAGAAAGCUGUGAAAAUUGCAAAAUUUGGUUGAACAGAUAGGGACUUUUAAUUGGUGGUGUGACACCUUUGAAGUCCUUGCUAUCUCUCAAGGACCGAUAACUCUGCAUGGGAGAGUGCAAAAUAGGACGACAGAAAAUAAAAGGUACACGGAAAAUUGAGGACUAAGCAACAUGAACCGCAUUUAAGCGUGUCCAUCGAAGUCUAUCAUAAUAUGCUCAACACAAUUUAGAACAAUUAAAUAUAAUAGAGAAUGGGAAAAGGGAAUGUGUCAAAGACAACAACCCAGUCGAAUAGUAAAAAACACCGAAGGCCACCAAGCAUGUGUCCUCGACACAGCGAGAAAAUAAUAAAAAUAUUUAUUUGUAAAAUUUAGGAUAAUUAAGGAA